GCAAAUAUAGUUUUAACAAAAACAUUAGAUUGUGAAUCUAAAAUUAGGAGUUUAAAUCUCCUUAUAUGCA
This is a non-coding RNA of Sarcophilus harrisii (Tasmanian devil), 70 nucleotides long. The record is from Rfam. NCBI's taxonomy places the organism in Eukaryota, Metazoa, Chordata, Mammalia, Dasyuromorphia, Dasyuridae.